GUCAUGGACCAGUGGUGAAGAGCCUCGAGAGUGAAGGUUAAUUUUUCGAAAGGAGAAGUCCACUAUUUCAGCUUCAUCAUUCAGCCUGGAAACUGAACUGCAUCAUAAAACUUGUGCUUGAAAAGUGUCAUGGGACCCAUAUUAAGUUUCCAAAUUUGAUCUGCUGCACACAAGUAGCUUUGAAGAAGAAGGAUCCCAGCUUAAAGAAAAACACGUCACAUCCAUAAUUGUUUGACAUCAUCUUCAAGCACACCUGGAUUUCUUGUUGCAAUGUCUUCAAAACAAAUGUAAAAAUGAAAGGAUUUCAGUGGUAAACUCAUAAUGAUGGGAUCAAAAGGAAGUGAACUGGACUCUGAGGGACCUAACACAAGAUUGUGAUGGACCUAGAAUGCGACACCGUUUACGAAUAAGUCAAGAACCAAAUGAAACACUAUUUUCCAGAGUACAGAUUAUGGAGGGGUCUGCGAAAUGGAGCAGUUUCUUCUUCUUGGAGUGCCACAGCUUGAUACUGCAUAUAAGGACUUAGUGAAGAACACAGAAACAUCUUUAAAAGAAAUGGCCCAAUAGAAGGGAAGGAAAGAAGGAAGUACUCAGCAUUGAAAUAUUGUUUUACAGAAAUCCAAAGGUCCUAACAGCUCUCCUGAUUGCGUCAAGGCUUCACUAUCCUCGCUCACUAUCCUUCUGCUCCCUCAUUUAUCAGAGGCACCACAGUAGAAUGAAUUAACAAUUACUCUUCACUCACUGUGGCCAAUUCACCAAUACCGUACGCAUGCCUUUGGACUGUGGGGGCAACUGGAGCACCCAGAGGAAACUCAAACAAACACUGGGAGAACUUUCAAACUUCACACAGAAACACCAACUGACCCAGUCAGGACUCGAACCAGUGACCUUCUUGCUGUGAUGUGACAGUUUUAACCAGUGAGCCACUGUGCCACCCAUGGACAAAACUAUUUACGUUAUGAGAGGCCGGCAAACAUGGACAUGCUACAGGUUGUGGAAUGGCUGUUCUCAGUGUUUUGUCUAAUAAUUUUGCAAAGUUUUGGGUGCGAUUAAGCUCUUUGUUCAAUAACUUUUUUGAAAAUUAUAUAUAAAAAUGGAUGUUGCCCUGACCAAUACAUACAUGUACCGUCAACUUGUUGAAAUUGUAGUGUUAUUUAAUGGAUGUUUGUGUAUUGUUUCUAUCUGCAUUGUAAUACAUUUUUCAUCACUUUAGAGAUGUUUGAAAGUUAAGUUUUGCGUUUGUUCAAUCAGUAAGCAAGCUUACAAAUGUUUGUUAUUAAGUGAAAUCAUUAGAACUAGAUUGUUGAAUGCCAUUAAGCUGUUAAUUAUGUUUACUAACUAAAUAGUAAAAAUGUAUAAUGUUUAGAGGUAGAUCUUAUACAAAGUACGCAGAGGUGCAAUUUUAAAUAUUAUCUAAAACUUAUUUUG
This is a non-coding RNA of Danio rerio (zebrafish), 1428 nucleotides long. NCBI's taxonomy places the organism in Eukaryota, Metazoa, Chordata, Actinopteri, Cypriniformes, Danionidae. The record is from RefSeq and is a predicted model, not a curated record.